UACAGAGGUCCCGAGCGUUGUUCGGAUUCAUUGGGCGUAAAGGGUGCGUAGGCGGUCUUCUAAGUUUGAUGUGAAAUCCCGGGGCUCAACCCUGGAAUUGCAUUGAAUACUGGAGGACUAGAGUACCGGAGAGGAAACUGGAAUUUACGGUGUAGCAGUGAAAUGCGUAGAGAUCGUAAGGAAGACCAGUGGCGAAGGCGGGUCUCUGGACAGUUCCUGACGCUGAGGCACGAAGGUCAGGGGAGCAAACGGG
This 253-nucleotide ribosomal RNA is filed under the name uncultured bacterium. Its description in RNAcentral is "partial 16S ribosomal RNA". It matches the Rfam family "Bacterial small subunit ribosomal RNA", at positions 524 to 776 of the family's 1533-position model. The record is from RNAcentral.